This 401-nucleotide ribosomal RNA is filed under the name uncultured bacterium. RNAcentral's name for it is "bacterial SSU rRNA". It matches the Rfam family "Bacterial small subunit ribosomal RNA", at positions 355 to 773 of the family's 1533-position model. The record is from RNAcentral.
UGGGGAAUAUUGGACAAUGGGCGAAAGCCUGAUCCAGCAAUGCCGCGUGAGUGAUGAAGGCCUUAGGGUUGUAAAGCUCUUUUACCCGGGAAGAUAAUGACUGUACCGGGAGAAUAAGCCCCGGCUAACUCCGUGCCAGCAGCCGCGGUAAUACGGAGGGGGCUAGCGUUGUUCGGAAUUACUGGGCGUAAAGCGCACGUAGGCGGCUUUGUAAGUUAGAGGUGAAAGCCCGGGGCUCAACUCCGGAAUUGCCUUUAAGACUGCAUCGCUAGAAUUGUGGAGAGGUAAGUGGAAUUCCGAGUGUAGAGGUGAAAUUCGUAGAUAUUCGCAAGAACACCAGUGGCGAAGGCGGCUCACUGGCCCGGUACUGACGCUGAGGUGCGAAAGCGUGGGGAGCAAAC